UUCCUUCUUCCUCAUCCUCUGUUCUUCCUCUGUUACAAAACACAGACUUCACUUUCCUCUUUCUUUCUCGCAGAAUCCAACACUUGCGACAACCCUUUUCGCCAUUUUGCUCCUUGUCCACUCCUCACUCGCUCUCAAGGAAGGACAAACAUGCGUAGCAGACAGGAACUGCGACUCGGGUUUGCACUGCGAAACGUGCGUGGCCAAUGGGAACGUGCGACCAAGAUGCACUCGCAUUCAACCCAUCAACCCCACUUCAAAGUUUUUGAACAGGUAAAAGGGUUGCCGUUCAAUCGGUAUUCAUGGCUGACGACGCAUAAUUCAUUUGCGAUUUUGGGUCAGAAACCAAUGGCGGGUUCUGUUAUUCUUGCUCCCAC
Vigna umbellata (rice bean) is the source of this 377-nucleotide non-coding RNA. NCBI's taxonomy places the organism in Eukaryota, Viridiplantae, Streptophyta, Magnoliopsida, Fabales, Fabaceae. The record is from RefSeq and is a predicted model, not a curated record.